UUCUGUCUGCGGUUCGAAUCCGGAC
This 25-nucleotide small RNA is filed under the name Arabidopsis thaliana (thale cress). Lineage: Eukaryota; Viridiplantae; Streptophyta; Magnoliopsida; Brassicales; Brassicaceae. The record is from RNAcentral.